GAUGAACGCUGGCGGCGUGCCUAAUACAUGCAAGUCGAGCGAACGGACGAGAAGCUUGCUUCUCUGAUGUUAGCGGCGGACGGGUGAGUAACACGUGGAUAACCUACCUAUAAGACUGGGAUAACUUCGGGAAACCGGAGCUAAUACCGGAUGAUAUUUUGAUCCGCAUGGUUCAAAAGUGAAAGACGGUCUUGCUGUCACUUAUAGAUGGAUCCGCGCUGCAUUAGCUAGUUGGUAAGGUAACGGCUUACCAAGGCGACGAUGCAUAGCCGACCUGAGAGGGUGAUAGGCCACCCUGGAACUGGGACACCGUCCAGACUCCUACGGGAGGCAGCAGUAGGGUAUCUUCCGCAGUGGGCGAAAGCCUGACGGAGCAACGCCGCGUGAGUGAUGAAGGUCUUCGGAGCGUAAAACUCUGUUAUUAGGGAAGAACAUAUGUGUAAGUAACUGUGCACAUCUUGACGGUACCUAAUCAGAAAGCCACGGCUAACUACGUG
Molecule: ribosomal RNA, 497 nt
Filed under: uncultured bacterium
Lineage: Bacteria
Description: partial 16S ribosomal RNA
Rfam family: Bacterial small subunit ribosomal RNA
Source: RNAcentral